GGUGAUGAUGGCAGAGAGGUCACACCCGUUCCCAUGCCGAACACGGAAGUUAAGCUCUCUAGCGCCGAUGGUAGUUGGGACCUUGUCCCUGUGAGAGUAGGACGUCGCCAAGCAA
Molecule: ribosomal RNA, 115 nt
Filed under: Bacillus thuringiensis serovar chinensis CT-43
Lineage: Bacteria; Bacillati; Bacillota; Bacilli; Caryophanales; Bacillaceae
Source: RNAcentral